RNAcentral lists this ribosomal RNA (313 nucleotides) under uncultured bacterium. RNAcentral's name for it is "bacterial SSU rRNA". It matches the Rfam family "Bacterial small subunit ribosomal RNA", at positions 28 to 334 of the family's 1533-position model. The record is from RNAcentral.
GAUGAACGCUAGCGACAGGCUUAACACAUGCAAGUCGAGGGGCAGCGGGGGAGCAGCAAUGCUCCCGCCGGCGACCGGCGCACGGGUGAGUAACACGUAUGGAACCUGCCCGCAGCAGGGGGAUAAGCGGAAGAAAUUCCGUCUAAUACCGCGUAACACCGCGGAGGGGCAUCCCUCGGCGGUUAAAGAUUCAUCGGCUGCGGAUGGCCAUGCGGCGCAUUAGCUAGUCGGCGGGGUAACGGCCCACCGAGGCGACGAUGCGUAGGGGUUCUGAGAGGAAGGUCCCCCACAUUGGAACUGAGACACGGUCCAA